RNAcentral lists this ribosomal RNA (253 nucleotides) under uncultured bacterium. RNAcentral's name for it is "partial 16S ribosomal RNA". It matches the Rfam family "Bacterial small subunit ribosomal RNA", at positions 524 to 776 of the family's 1533-position model. The record is from RNAcentral.
GACGAACCGUCCAAACGUUAUUCGGAUUCAUUGGGCGUAAAGGGUGCGUAGGUGGCGCCGUAAGUCGGGUGUGAAAUUUCGGAGCUUAACUCCGAAACUGCAUUCGAUACUGCGGUGCUUGAGGACUGGAGAGGAGACUGGAAUUCAUGGUGUAGCAGUGAAAUGCGUAGAGAUCAUGAGGAAGACCAGUGGCGAAGGCGGGUCUCUGGACAGUUCCUGACACUGAGGCACGAAGGCCAGGGGAGCAAACGGG